UCCAAUCAACCCCAAAUAACCCCAAUAUCUUACAACCGAGAUCAAACAACCCAAUUUCAACCAAGAUCGCCUCCGUAGUCAUCUACAAAAACGUAAACUUAGUUCUCCGAUCACAAAUGAACCAAGGCUAAACGGUAUUUUAAUAUUAAGAUUUACAUACCUCGACGAAGGGAAGGUGAGCGGGCAGCGAUCACUUGGCCUUGACGAUGGUGGUCGGCGGCCAUGAUAGUUGAAGCAGUGGAGAUUUAAUUCCUCCAUUUGGCGGUUUUGAUUUGCGUGCUCAGAUCUGCAUACUCCUUCGUCGGCCACCCAACCCCUUCUCCAGCGAUCCAGAUCUGCGUGCUCGACCCGCGUGCUCGUCUUGGGACGCAGACCAGAGGGAGAGCGAAGAAGAAGGAGAGGCAGAGGGAGAGCUAGAGUUUAGGGGUCUCAGUCGGUGGGGGAGAAGAGAGGUGGGAGAGGAGAGGAGAGGUCUGAAGAAG
Molecule: long non-coding RNA, 482 nt
Filed under: Fragaria vesca (wild strawberry)
Lineage: Eukaryota; Viridiplantae; Streptophyta; Magnoliopsida; Rosales; Rosaceae
Description: long non-coding RNA (FVES_LNC000657)
Source: RNAcentral